GAGAAUUGGUCCCUUGAACUUAGGUCAUCCUGACCGCGUGUUGUUAUACCAGCUGUUUUCUAUUUCCGUGUGUGUACGUGUGAAGGUUGUAUUGUGCAAGCUUUCUUGAUGAUCUCAAUAAAAGGCAUAUUUUGCUCCAAUGAAAAAAAGGUAAUCUCCUAUAAUAAUUGAGCAUGUUUCAGUCCAUUCUUGUUAAUCAAUCCUACUCGAAGAUGGGCUGCACUUUGACUUUGGAGGACAAGUGGCACAUGAGGCUUGUGAUUUUUUUUAUUUUUUAUUUUUUGGUGAGAUAAGUAGGCUUGUGAGGUUCAACCGCUUGUAGUUGAACUCCUCCAUCGCUACGUCGGAUAGCUCCAGCGGUUUGGUUGCCCCGCUUUUUUAACGUACGAUGAUCACUGUUCGAGUUCCGAGACUAUCGUGUUUCUUCGAAUAGCAGGGAAUUAGUCGGAUCAAAAGUCCGAAUAUCCCUGCAUCCAAAAAAAAAAAAAAAAAAAGAGUUCAACUCCUCCACGUCGACGACGUGUAACGUGCUUCCAUGUAAGCUUGCGUUAUUAAUUGCUGUCUCCAACACCAUCUACUCAACAUAAUCAAUCAAUGAAAGAGCAACCGUCCUUCAAUUCAGAUAGUGGCAGCAGGGUGCCAUUCGUCCAUGUGUUUGUACCUCCUGCCGACGAAUUGACCGUUCUAGCUUUCAUCCUCUAUGUGUAUGUCGGUCGGUAAGAGGCUAAGAGCCUAUUGGUGCAAGUGUUGGCUUGGGCAUAAGGGCUCUUUUUGCUGGGUCAAGGAAGAAUAAUAAAUAAUAAUGAUAAUAGCCAUUCUCCGCCGCCGUGACAAAUGCUAGAACUAUUUUCCAGUUUCCCACGCUCUCGCGGGCCUAGAAAGGUCACAGGGCUGGCACCAAAAGCAGAACAAAAAGUUUGAAGAAAUUAUUGUCCUCGUGCACAAAGCUGUGUGUGUGUGUGUGUUGGGAAGUUUAGUAGCAAGGGAUGAUGAUAUUAUAUUAAUUAUUUGUUGCCAAAAAUCAGAAAAGAGGGAGAUGUUCUCGGUUGCUGAACUUUAAACAAUUUAAAUACCUUCACCGUUUGACUGCAUCCCUUCACCAUUGAAUAUUUGAUUGAUGGAAGAAAACAACCAGCAGUACUC
RNAcentral lists this long non-coding RNA (1143 nucleotides) under Coffea arabica (coffee). RNAcentral's name for it is "long non-coding RNA (CARA_LNC006138)". Lineage: Eukaryota; Viridiplantae; Streptophyta; Magnoliopsida; Gentianales; Rubiaceae. The record is from RNAcentral.